AACGAACGCUGGCGGCAUGCCUAACACAUGCAAGUCGAACGAGACCUUCGGGUCUAGUGGCGCACGGGUGCGUAACGCGUGGGAACCUGCCUUUAGGUUCGGAAUAACUCAGAGAAAUUUGAGCUAAUACCGGAUGAUGUCUUCGGACCAAAGAUUUAUCGCCUUUAGAUGGGCCCGCGUUGGAUUAGCUAGUUGGUGGGGUAAAGGCCUACCAAGGCGACGAUCCAUAGCUGGUCUGAGAGGAUGAUCAGCCACACUGGGACUGGGACACGGCCCAGACUCCUACGGGAGGCAGCAGUGGGGAAUAUUGGACAAUGGGCGAAAGCCUGAUCCAGCAAUGCCGCGUGAGUGAUGAAGGCCUUAGGGUUGUAAAGCUCUUUUACCCGAGAUGAUAAUGACAGUAUCGGGAGAAUAAGCUCCGGCUAACUCCGUG
This 433-nucleotide ribosomal RNA is filed under the name uncultured bacterium. RNAcentral's name for it is "partial 16S ribosomal RNA". It matches the Rfam family "Bacterial small subunit ribosomal RNA", at positions 29 to 507 of the family's 1533-position model. The record is from RNAcentral.